AACGAACGCUGGCGGCAGGCUUAACACAUGCAAGUCGAACGCCCCGCCAGGGGAGUGGCGCACGGGUGAGUAACGCGUGGAUAUCUGCCUUUUGGUUCGGAAUAACCCCGGGAAACUGGGGCUAAUACCGGAUGGUUCCUACGGGAUAAAGAUUUAUCGCCAAAAGAUGAGUCCGCGUACGAUUAGCUAGUUGGUGAGGUAAUGGCUCACCAAGGCGACGAUCGUUAGCUGGUCUGAGAGGACGAUCAGCCACACUGGGACUGAGACACGGCCCAGACUCCGACGGGAGGCAGCAGGGGGGAAUAUUGGACAAUGGGGGCAACCCUGAGCCAGCCGUGCCGCGUGAGUGAUGAAGGCCUUCGGGUUGUAAAGCUCUUUUGGCGGGGACGAUGAGGACGGUACCCGCAGAAUAAGCCCCGGCUAACUUCGU
This 430-nucleotide ribosomal RNA is filed under the name uncultured bacterium. RNAcentral describes it as "partial 16S ribosomal RNA". It matches the Rfam family "Bacterial small subunit ribosomal RNA", at positions 29 to 506 of the family's 1533-position model. The record is from RNAcentral.